AUACAACGAUAAUAAAUCAUGAACUUGUUAGUUUUGACUUUACCAUUUGACGCUACCAUUCUCCUCGGCUCCGGUGAACGGUUUGGAACAGAGUCAGAGGGUGAAUGGACGCAGAGAGGAUGGAGAGGAAACAGAGAGGGUAGAGAGGAAGCAGAGAGGAUGGAGAGGAUGCAGAGAGGUUGAAGAGGAAGCAGAGAAGGUGGAGAGGAAGCAGGGAGGGUGGAGAGGAAGCAGAGAGGAUGGAGAGGAAGCAGAGAGGGUGGAGAGGAAGCAGAGAGAGUGAGAGGAAGCAGAGAGGAUGGAGAGGAAGCAGAGAGGAUGGAGAGGAAGCCGAGAGGUUGGAGAGGAAGCAGAGAGUUGGAGAGAAGCAGAGAGGAUGUAGAGGAAAAGGCCAGGUGGAGCAGAAAGGGAAAGAGCACUCAAAAAGAAAGCCCUCUAAAAAGAAGCCGCGAAAAUGUAACAAAAUUACCGACCAGUUCAGGGCUUCAAAUGUAGGUCAGACUCAUCUGUAAAUACUGUAGCUUUGUGUUCGCUAACUUAGCUAAUCAAUUAUUAACCACAGUUUCACUACUAGCAAACGUUAGCACUAUUAUCAUCACUCAAAAUACACUAAAG
Long non-coding RNA from Ictalurus punctatus (channel catfish), 615 nucleotides. The record is from Ensembl. NCBI's taxonomy places the organism in Eukaryota, Metazoa, Chordata, Actinopteri, Siluriformes, Ictaluridae.